GAUGAACGCUGGCGGCGUGCCUAAUACAUGCAAGUCGAGCGAACAGACGAGGAGCUUGCUCCUCUGACGUUAGCGGCGGACGGGUGAGUAACACGUGGAUAACCUACCUAUAAGACUGGGAUAACUUCGGGAAACCGGAGCUAAUACCGGAUAAUAUAUUGAACCGCAUGGUUCAAUAGUGAAAGACGGUUCUGCUGUCACUUAUAGAUGGAUCCGCGCCGCAUUAGCUAGUUGGUAAGGUAACGGCUUACCAAGGCAACGAUGCGUAGCCGACCUGAGAGGGUGAUCGGCCACACUGGAACUGAGACACGGUCCAGACUCCUACGGGAGGCAGCAGUAGGGAAUCCUCCGCAAUGGGCGAAAGCCUGACGGAGCAACGCCGCGUGAGUGAUGAAGGUCUUCGGAUCGUAAAACUCUGUUAUUAGGGAAGAACAAAUGUGUAAGUAACUAUGCACGUCUUGACGGUACCUAAUCAGAAAGCCACGGCUAACUACGUG
Molecule: ribosomal RNA, 497 nt
Filed under: uncultured bacterium
Lineage: Bacteria
Description: partial 16S ribosomal RNA
Rfam family: Bacterial small subunit ribosomal RNA
Source: RNAcentral